Small nucleolar RNA from Cynocephalus volans (Philippine flying lemur), 135 nucleotides. RefSeq annotates it as small nucleolar RNA SNORA70. The record is from RefSeq and is a predicted model, not a curated record. Lineage: Eukaryota; Metazoa; Chordata; Mammalia; Dermoptera; Cynocephalidae. The transcript has a single exon.
CUUCAACCAAUUAAGCCCUCUAUGCUCCUUUCCUCGUGGGGGCCCAGUAUACAGUGACUGCAAACAGCAGCCUCCUUGGUAGUGUAUGCAGACUGUUGCUUAUAUGGGUUGCCCUAAGGGACCUUGAAGGCAGCC